AGCCCAAAUUUGAAGUAGAGUAGAUUAGAAGGGUCACCUGGCCCUACCAAACUACUCUACUUCGAGUUUCUGCCC
Haemonchus contortus (barber pole worm) is the source of this 75-nucleotide non-coding RNA. NCBI's taxonomy places the organism in Eukaryota, Metazoa, Nematoda, Chromadorea, Rhabditida, Trichostrongylidae. The record is from Rfam.